This 377-nucleotide ribosomal RNA is filed under the name uncultured bacterium. Its description in RNAcentral is "bacterial SSU rRNA". It matches the Rfam family "Bacterial small subunit ribosomal RNA", at positions 521 to 896 of the family's 1533-position model. The record is from RNAcentral.
UAAUACGGGGGGAGCAAGCGUUGUUCGGAUUUACUGGGCGUAAAGGGCGCGUAGGCGGCGUGACAAGUCACUUGUGAAAUCUCCGGGCUUAACCCGGAGCGGCCAAGUGAUACUGUCGUGCUAGAGUGCGGAAGGGGCUACUGGAAUUCUCGGUGUAGCGGUGAAAUGCGUAGAUAUCGAGAGGAACACCUGCGGCGAAGGCGGGUAGCUGGGCCGACACUGACGCUGAGGCGCGAAAGCCAGGGGAGCGAACGGGAUUAGAUACCCCGGUAGUCCUGGCCUUAAACGAUGGAUACUUGGUGUGGCGGGUAUCGAUCCCUGCCGUGCCGAAGCUAACGCAUUAAGCAUUCCGCCUGGGGAGUACGGUCGCAAGGCUG